GGAGAGGUGGGUGAGUGGCUUAAACCAGUUCCCUGCUAAGGAACCGUACGUUAAUUCGUACCGAGGGUUCGAAUCCCUCCCUCUCCGCCA
RNAcentral lists this transfer RNA (90 nucleotides) under Marinobacter sp. X15-166B. RNAcentral describes it as "tRNA-Ser". It matches the Rfam family "tRNA". From Rfam's summary of the family: Transfer RNA (tRNA) molecules are approximately 80 nucleotides in length. The record is from RNAcentral. Lineage: Bacteria; Pseudomonadati; Pseudomonadota; Gammaproteobacteria; Pseudomonadales; Marinobacteraceae.